Molecule: non-coding RNA, 249 nt
Organism: Pelobates cultripes (western spadefoot toad)
Lineage: Eukaryota; Metazoa; Chordata; Amphibia; Anura; Pelobatidae
Source: the annotation of a GenBank genome assembly
CUGACAAACACAUAUACACUCUCACUAACACACACUCACUAACAGACACGUACACACAAGCUAACAGACACACACAUUUACUGACAGACACACCCUCAGUGACAUACAUACACACUCACUUACAAAACAUACACUUUCACUGACACACACUCACUAACAGACACCAAACAGACUCACUAACAGACACACACACUCAAUAACAGACACACACAAACUAACACACUCAGUAACAGACACACACACAGAAAC